AUCCAGCUGACGAGUCCCAAAUAGGAUGAAAUGCGCGUCGUGGAU
Molecule: non-coding RNA, 45 nt
Organism: Schistosoma mansoni
Lineage: Eukaryota; Metazoa; Platyhelminthes; Trematoda; Strigeidida; Schistosomatidae
Source: Rfam